This 228-nucleotide long non-coding RNA is filed under the name Lathyrus oleraceus (garden pea). Its description in RNAcentral is "Pisum sativum (pea) long non-coding RNA (PSAT_LNC041599)". The record is from RNAcentral. Lineage: Eukaryota; Viridiplantae; Streptophyta; Magnoliopsida; Fabales; Fabaceae.
AAACAACAAGCAACAAGCUACUAAGGAGUCGGGAACUCGAGCCUAGCAACUGUCAAGCACACACACAAAAAGAAAACAAAGUGCCCGGAGAGACCUCGCACGGUCUCCUGCCUACGUACCUCAUCUGGUAUGAGGAUCAGGGCGACGUAGUUCCCCUAAACAGGGGAGAAACUAUCUCCUAACCAGAAACAAAAGGGAGACACACUACUAGGGAGCUGGACUCGAGCC